This is a long non-coding RNA of Thunnus maccoyii (southern bluefin tuna), 361 nucleotides long. RefSeq lists it as uncharacterized. Lineage: Eukaryota; Metazoa; Chordata; Actinopteri; Scombriformes; Scombridae. The transcript has 3 exons. The record is from RefSeq and is a predicted model, not a curated record.
GGCAAAUAACUGAAAACACCUUAAAUCUAUUACUAGAAGGUAAAUGGGGUAUCUAAAACCCACAAAACAAAAUCCUAGAAAACAAACUGAGGACAUGACCUCAGUGUCUUCAGUGGUAGCUACAGUCCUGCACACAUGCGCAGCCAAGAUCCCCCAAUAUGGCCACUACAGGAUGAAGCCCUAGAUGUUUUUACCCUGUGAACCGCGCUGCAGCCUCAGGGGAGAGCGGCCACCGCUUCCCUGCUGACUGACAGACCUCCACACUGAGGCCUGGAGGAAGAAGAAUCAGGAAAUGCUGUUAUUGUGAGCUAACCAGGGAAUCCAGGAACGCCAGGCAGACCGAUGUCUCCCUUCGCACCAG